This is a non-coding RNA of Nothobranchius furzeri (turquoise killifish), 606 nucleotides long. Lineage: Eukaryota; Metazoa; Chordata; Actinopteri; Cyprinodontiformes; Nothobranchiidae. The record is from RefSeq and is a predicted model, not a curated record.
CAAACACAAUCACGUUCUUAAAUGGAAAUGCGGGGCUUUAAACAAAUCUUACAUCUCUCCCGUUCCAUUCGCCUAAAACUCCGCAAUCAGGCGCAUGUUCCGCUCCUCUCUGAAACACGAGCCCGUUUUCUCUUCUUUUUUUAUUUUGGAGAGGAAAGGUUUAUUUUUCCCCGGCGCAACAGUCUCAUUUUAAUCAUUUACCUGAAAGCAGUGUUUUGUCUUUUUUUAUAUCUCAGCCGCGUGUCUGUUUGUUGUGAUCCUGCGCGCGCGCGACUAUUCUCUUUUUAUUCUGCAGGAUUGAACUCAGCCGUUCAUUUUUAAUCCGAGACUAAAAGACGUGCGUAAUAGGCGCUAAAUAUGCAGUUUCAGGAAGAAGAAGAAGAAGCGCCUAUGUUUGCCGAUAUUCUGAAGUAAAUCGUCACAUGCUUUUCAGAUCCUGCAGCACAGAGCUGCUCCCCAGCAUGAAGGCCGUGACCGGAAGCUGCUGGAGUGAGUCAGCGUCACUCACACACACACUGUCACACACUACUACGUGUUGGUGUGCAUGAGUGUAAAUGCCUGUGUAAUGUUUACUUCAUUUGUUCCAUUAAAGCAUUUUCACAGCAU